This 547-nucleotide ribosomal RNA is filed under the name uncultured bacterium. RNAcentral's name for it is "bacterial SSU rRNA". It matches the Rfam family "Bacterial small subunit ribosomal RNA", at positions 359 to 917 of the family's 1533-position model. The record is from RNAcentral.
GGANUGCGAUGGGCGAAGCCUGACGCAGCGACGCCGCGUGGGGGAUGAAGCUUUUCGGAGCGUAAACCCCUUUCGACCCGGAAGAAAGCCCGCAAGGGUCUGACGGUACGGGUAUAAGAAGCCCCGGCUAACUACGUGCCAGCAGCCGCGGUAAAACGUAGGGGGCCAGCGUUGCUCGGAAUUACUGGGCGUAAAGGGUCUGUAGGCGGUGCGGCAAGUCGGAAGUGAAAUUCCAGGGCUUAACUCUGGGGCUGCUUCCGAAACUGCUGUGCUCGAGUGUGAGAUAGGCGAGUGGAAUUGCAGGUGUAGCGGUGAAAUGCGUAGAUAUCUGCAGGAACAUCCGAGGCGAAAGCGGCUCGCUGGAUCACAACUGACGCUGAGAGACGAAAGCUAGGGGAGCAAACAGGAUUAGAUACCCUGGUAGUCCUAGCCCUAAACGAUCAGGACUUGGCGUGAGCCCUGUACGGGGCUCGUGCCGUAGCUAACGCGAUAAGUCCUGCGCCUGGGGAGUACGGUCGCAAGGCUGAAACUCAAAGAAAUUGACGGA